This 253-nucleotide ribosomal RNA is filed under the name uncultured bacterium. RNAcentral's name for it is "partial 16S ribosomal RNA". It matches the Rfam family "Bacterial small subunit ribosomal RNA", at positions 524 to 776 of the family's 1533-position model. The record is from RNAcentral.
UACGGAGGGUCCAAGCGUUAUCCGGAUUCAUUGGGUUUAAAGGGUCCGUAGGCGGGAAAAUAAGUCAGUGGUGAAAGCCUACAGCUUAACUGUAGAACUGCCAUUGAAACUGUUUUUCUUGAAUUUAGAUGAAGUGGGCGGAAUAUAUCAUGUAGCGGUGAAAUGCAUAGAUAUGAUAUAGAACACCGAUUGCGAAGGCAGCUCACUAAACUAACAUUGACGCUGAGGGACGAAAGCGUGGGGAGCGAACAGG